This 429-nucleotide ribosomal RNA is filed under the name uncultured archaeon. RNAcentral's name for it is "bacterial SSU rRNA". It matches the Rfam family "Archaeal small subunit ribosomal RNA", at positions 474 to 903 of the family's 1478-position model. The record is from RNAcentral.
CACCAGCCCCUCGAGUGGUGGGGAUGAUUAUUUGGCCUAAAGCGUCCGUAGCCGGCCGGGUAAGUUUCCCGUUAAAUCCAGCGUCUCAAGCGUUGGGCUGCGGGAAAUACUGCCUGGCUAGAGAGUGGGAGAGGUCAGCGGUAUUCUGGGGGUAGGGGCGAAAUCCUUUGAUUCCCGGAGGACCACCAGUGGCGAAGGCUGCUGACUAGAACACGUCUGACGGUCAGGGACGAAAGCUGGGGUAGCGAACCGGAUUAGAUGCCCGGGUAGUCCCAGCCGUAAACGAUGCAUGCUAGGUGUUGGGUUGGCCACGAGCCACCCCAGUGCCGCAGGGAAGCCGUUAAGCAUGCCGCCUGGGAAGUACGAUCGCAAGAUUGAAACUUAAAGGAAUUGGCGGGGGAGCACCACCAGGCGUGAAGCCUGCGGUUU